GGGGCGGGCGGCCCCCCAGCGCCACCUCCCGGCCGGCCCCGUCCAGGCCAGGCUGCGCGCCGCCAGGGAGACCCGAAGGCUCAGCGUCCCGUUGCGCGGGGAAGUCUCCAGCCAGAUGCCUCGGAGAGGCUGCCCUCUUGGCAGGUUGGCUGCCCCGAACAUGGAGGCUCCAUGCACCGCCCCCCCCCAAUAUAUCUCUUUCCUCCACGCACUUGUCUUUUAAGGCUGCCCAUCAUCUCAUGGCGAGGGAUUCCUCAGGAGGGAAGAGCCCAUUUAGGAGAAGGAAAUAAAACUCGCAUCCUAAACCUCGGCUGCCUUGUGGGAUUUUCCAGCAGAAGAAAAAGCUAAGGAAUAAAACCCGAAUAAAUCUGGAGUGGGGUCCCUGAGACGCUUGGAUGGCAUCUCGCACUGCGACUAAUCUUAUUAUUAUUUAUAAUAUUUUUAUUGAAUUUUCAAUUUUACAUUUCCAAAUAAACAUUUUACAAACUU
Long non-coding RNA from Podarcis muralis (Common wall lizard), 489 nucleotides. RefSeq lists it as uncharacterized. NCBI's taxonomy places the organism in Eukaryota, Metazoa, Chordata, Lepidosauria, Squamata, Lacertidae. The record is from RefSeq and is a predicted model, not a curated record.